CAGAAAAACAACCAAUCAGAAAAAAGUUAGGUACUAUAAAACCCCCUUCCCAUUGCAUCAUUUCCUCUUUCAAGCUGCGACAAAACAGAACAAAGGCAGAAAAAAUAAUGGGAAGCAACGAAGUCCAGAUACGAUGAAUACAGCAAUGUCCAAUGUCUGAGAAGAACUGUCAACCGGAUAGCGUUGAUGGACUGAAAAUAAGUCAAUGUCCACCAUCCACGAAGAAGUGCCACACCAGAUAGUGCUGAAGGACUGGAAACUGAAACGAGAGAAAAACAGAAUCGAACAG
Non-coding RNA from Pelobates cultripes (western spadefoot toad), 289 nucleotides. The record is from the annotation of a GenBank genome assembly. NCBI's taxonomy places the organism in Eukaryota, Metazoa, Chordata, Amphibia, Anura, Pelobatidae.